RNAcentral lists this ribosomal RNA (1644 nucleotides) under Escherichia coli. RNAcentral's name for it is "partial 23S ribosomal RNA". It matches the Rfam family "Bacterial large subunit ribosomal RNA", at positions 1291 to 2915 of the family's 2925-position model. The record is from RNAcentral. Lineage: Bacteria; Pseudomonadati; Pseudomonadota; Gammaproteobacteria; Enterobacterales; Enterobacteriaceae.
CGAAUGCUGACAUAAGUAACGAUAAAGCGGGUGAAAAGCCCGCUCGCCGGAAGACCAAGGGUUCCUGUCCAACGUUAAUCGGGGCAGGGUGAGUCGACCCCUAAGGCGAGGCCGAAAGGCGUAGUCGAUGGGAAACAGGUUAAUAUUCCUGUACUUGGUGUUACUGCGAAGGGGGGACGGAGAAGGCUAUGUUGGCCGGGCGACGGUUGUCCCGGUUUAAGCGUGUAGGCUGGUUUUCCAGGCAAAUCCGGAAAAUCAAGGCUGAGGCGUGAUGACGAGGCACUACGGUGCUGAAGCAACAAAUGCCCUGCUUCCAGGAAAAGCCUCUAAGCAUCAGGUAACAUCAAAUCGUACCCCAAACCGACACAGGUGGUCAGGUAGAGAAUACCAAGGCGCUUGAGAGAACUCGGGUGAAGGAACUAGGCAAAAUGGUGCCGUAACUUCGGGAGAAGGCACGCUGAUAUGUAGGUGAAGUCCCUCGCGGAUGGAGCUGAAAUCAGUCGAAGAUACCAGCUGGCUGCAACUGUUUAUUAAAAACACAGCACUGUGCAAACACGAAAGUGGACGUAUACGGUGUGACGCCUGCCCGGUGCCGGAAGGUUAAUUGAUGGGGUUAGCGCAAGCGAAGCUCUUGAUCGAAGCCCCGGUAAACGGCGGCCGUAACUAUAACGGUCCUAAGGUAGCGAAAUUCCUUGUCGGGUAAGUUCCGACCUGCACGAAUGGCGUAAUGAUGGCCAGGCUGUCUCCACCCGAGACUCAGUGAAAUUGAACUCGCUGUGAAGAUGCAGUGUACCCGCGGCAAGACGGAAAGACCCCGUGAACCUUUACUAUAGCUUGACACUGAACAUUGAGCCUUGAUGUGUAGGAUAGGUGGGAGGCUUUGAAGUGUGGACGCCAGUCUGCAUGGAGCCGACCUUGAAAUACCACCCUUUAAUGUUUGAUGUUCUAACGUGGACCCGUAAUCCGGGUUGCGGACAGUGUCUGGUGGGUAGUUUGACUGGGGCGGUCUCCUCCUAAAGAGUAACGGAGGAGCACGAAGGUUGGCUAAUCCUGGUCGGACAUCAGGAGGUUAGUGCAAUGGCAUAAGCCAGCUUGACUGCGAGCGUGACGGCGCGAGCAGGUGCGAAAGCAGGUCAUAGUGAUCCGGUGGUUCUGAAUGGAAGGGCCAUCGCUCAACGGAUAAAAGGUACUCCGGGGAUAACAGGCUGAUACCGCCCAAGAGUUCAUAUCGACGGCGGUGUUUGGCACCUCGAUGUCGGCUCAUCACAUCCUGGGGCUGAAGUAGGUCCCAAGGGUAUGGCUGUUCGCCAUUUAAAGUGGUACGCGAGCUGGGUUUAGAACGUCGUGAGACAGUUCGGUCCCUAUCUGCCGUGGGCGCUGGAGAACUGAGGGGGGCUGCUCCUAGUACGAGAGGACCGGAGUGGACGCAUCACUGGUGUUCGGGUUGUCAUGCCAAUGGCACUGCCCGGUAGCUAAAUGCGGAAGAGAUAAGUGCUGAAAGCAUCUAAGCACGAAACUUGCCCCGAGAUGAGUUCUCCCUGACUCCUUGAGAGUCCUGAAGGAACGUUGAAGACGACGACGUUGAUAGGCCGGGUGUGUAAGCGCAGCGAUGCGUUGAGCUAACCGGUACUAAUGAACCGUGAG